AUUCUUAAUUAGCAAAAUCCACUUCCAAAUCUAAGACUAGGAAUGUGCUUCUAUGCAAAGGCUUUAUUUUUAAAUAACAAGGAAAAAAGCUAUUCAAGAGACAGUAUUUUAUCCAUGAAUGAUCCUACAAUAUCAUCCCAGAGGACACUUUUGUCAAAUCAUUGGUGGAUUCAGUCAAUCAGUGGUAGCGACAACCCAAGGAAAGGAGGAGAAAGGAUGAAUGAAGACACUGAUUCCCAAGUCCCUCCUUUCAGGUCACCGUGGGUUGGCUGCAUCUCUAAUGAAGGCAACAGCUGCUAUGCAGUGACCCUCUCCAUAAAACCUCCCUCUCUGUAGAGGGGUUAUCAACUAUCAUCUCAGAUGGAAAACUAUGCGAAGGAUAUCCCACACUGGCAAGUUGUUCUUCCUAGGAUAAAGCCAUUGUAACCCUUUUUUUAGUUGUCAAGCAAAAUUCAAGAGUUUUAUGAAUAACAUGAAAAUUUCAUGAGUAACUAAGUCUGUCUCACAAAAGUCUAAUAGGGACUGGAAGACUUCAUCAAAGUUACCUGGAUAUGGU
Molecule: long non-coding RNA, 556 nt
Organism: Hyaena hyaena (striped hyena)
Lineage: Eukaryota; Metazoa; Chordata; Mammalia; Carnivora; Hyaenidae
Exons: 3
Source: RefSeq, a predicted model, not a curated record